GGCCAUAGCUCAGUGGUAGAGAACAUGUUUUGCAUGCAGAAACUCUCAGGUUCAAUUCCUGGCAUCACCA
Molecule: non-coding RNA, 70 nt
Organism: Podarcis lilfordi (Lilford's wall lizard)
Lineage: Eukaryota; Metazoa; Chordata; Lepidosauria; Squamata; Lacertidae
Source: the annotation of a GenBank genome assembly